This 726-nucleotide long non-coding RNA is filed under the name Olea europaea subsp. europaea. Lineage: Eukaryota; Viridiplantae; Streptophyta; Magnoliopsida; Lamiales; Oleaceae. The record is from RNAcentral.
UAAAAAAGAAGUUCCUCAUAAUGGAUGCCGACGAGGUAAAUCCCUGCCGCCAACAGCCACCCUCCUCACUGUGUCGCCACCACUCUUAUUUCAAACCAUCCAUGAUCCACCAACUACCUCACUGAUUCCCCUAUUAACGUUUCAGUUCUUGAUUUUUUAGUUCUUACAUUCAUUUCUUGUCUACAAAAAUGGGAUUUGUAAUGGUUGGGCUGAACUUCAACCAAAACCGACCAAUAUUCACCACAACAACUUGCAAUUAAAGAUAACCAGCUGGAAUUAACAACCCAAGCUGUGAUUUAUUAACAAAAUAAGGUUACAGUAAAGAAGAAAGACGAAGAGAAGUAGCAGAGAAAUUGGGGAAGAAGAAAGAGGUACAAUUUCAGACAAAUACCAAUUUGGCUGUGUUAACUUUCGUCCCCCAGUUAAGUACAGUAAGAGACGUGUUUUAUAACAAAAAACGUAUUCUUCUAUAACAAAAUAUACAAAUGAAACAGCGUCGCUCCUUUCACCCUUUAAUUGCCGGUUAAUUCCGUUUGCUUCUUUCCUUCUUCUUUCCCCAGCUGAAAUCUGGCUUCAAUUGUUCUUCUUCCUCAUCACAGGAUUUUGAUUCACAUUCUUAGUUGCUUUAUUUACAUUUUUACUCCGAUUCUUGGUAUUUUGUUUAUGUUGUUUGAUUUCAAAUUUCUUCAAUUGUUUUCCCAUUUUAACAAUUGGGCUAGAUUUUAG